CUCGAUCAGAAUAUUUUACGCAUGCGCAUCAAGAAUGGAUUAGAAGCAGUUUCAAACUUGUAAGAAAUUUGCAGUGAGAACAAACCUUCGGUCGCCCCUGUCCUUAUCAUCAAUGUCAAUGGAAUUUCUGCAACACGCAUUUCUUUAUAUACUUAGUGUUCUUUGCAUUUUUUGUUUUUGUGGUGUUACUUUUGAAGUUACUGACUUGAAGUAAUAUUUUGAUUGUAAAAUAGUAAAUACUAAAUACAUAGAAACGAAUAAACGCUGCGUGCUAGUACUGUGUAAAGGCUCUUUUUUCUGUCCAACUUUCUAGCGGAAUCGAUGCAGCUUUUUAGUGGACUAUUUUUUGACAAUUUUGUGUUCUGGGGUUCAGGCUAAAGUUGCCAGAGUAUUUUACAAGAAAUUUAGUUAAGAUGCCUUGUGCUGUUAAGACCCACAGGUCCUUAUGGAGAGAUUUGGCAGCAAAUGAAAACAUAUCUUUUUAUCAAAAUAAUUCAAUAGAAACAAUAAUAAUAGUUAAACGAUAUAAAUAGUGUUCUUAGCAACCAUUGUUUGAAUUUUAUUUUGGUUCAUUUUGUAACAUCUCAAAGAAGACAAUGGAUGUUUAUGAAAUGGCGGAAAGCCUACAAGCGGUAAUGGAGUGUGUACUGUUGGAACCUCAACCCAAUUAGGGAAACUUAACCAACCCAACCCAAGCAAACUACCCAAUCCUCUCAACCAAGUAAUAAUAAGGAAAAUGCUAAUAGCAGAGGAACUAGAAUGGGAAGACAGGGAGGCCUAGAGAGCACUUAAUUCUUCACAAAUAAAAACCGCUAUUGUCUGCCGUGAUCAACGCGGUGAUCAGUUUAAAACAGACGGCAAUGAAUAGAGGAGGCUACAGGGCCAUUACCAUAGUCGAGGCAGGGGUGGGGGGAAGCAUUAAAUAUUUGUUUAAUUUUUGUUGUAAAUUGUGAUUUUUUUUAUAUACAUAUUAUACAUACAUGAGUUUAAUAUAGCAUACAUAGGUAUAA
Molecule: long non-coding RNA, 1010 nt
Organism: Anthonomus grandis grandis
Lineage: Eukaryota; Metazoa; Arthropoda; Insecta; Coleoptera; Curculionidae
Exons: 6
Source: RefSeq, a predicted model, not a curated record